Molecule: transfer RNA, 69 nt
Filed under: Sorex mirabilis (Ussuri shrew)
Lineage: Eukaryota; Metazoa; Chordata; Mammalia; Eulipotyphla; Soricidae
Description: tRNA-Lys
Rfam family: tRNA
About the family: Transfer RNA (tRNA) molecules are approximately 80 nucleotides in length.
Source: RNAcentral
CAUUAAGAAGCUAUUGCAGCGUUAACCUUUUAAGUUAAAGACUGAGAGUUCUAAUCCUCUCCUUAAUGA